This 585-nucleotide ribosomal RNA is filed under the name uncultured bacterium. Its description in RNAcentral is "partial 16S ribosomal RNA". It matches the Rfam family "Bacterial small subunit ribosomal RNA", at positions 355 to 1375 of the family's 1533-position model. The record is from RNAcentral.
UGGGGAAUUUUGGACAAUGGGGGCAACCCUGAUCCAGCAAUGCCGCGUGUGUGAAGAAGGCCUUCGGGUUGUAAAGCACUUUUGUCCGGGAAGAAAUCCCCUGCCCUAAUACGGCGGGGGGAUGACGGUACCGGAAGAAUAAGCACCGGCUAACUACGUGCCAGCAGCCGCGGUAAUACGUAGGGUGCGAGCGUUAAUCGGAAUUACUGGGCGUAAAGCGUGCGCAGGCGGUGAUGUAAGACCGAUGUGAAAUCCCCGGGCUCAACCUGGGAACUGCAUUGGUGACUGCAUUGCUCGAGUAUGGCAGAGGGGGGUGGAAUUCCACGUGUAGCAGUGAAAUGCGUAGAGAUGUGGAGGAACACCGAUGGCGAAGGCAGCCCCCUGGGCAAUACUGACGCUCAUGCACGAAAGCGUGGGGAGCAAAACAGGAUUAGAUACCCUGGUAGUCCACGCCCUAAACGAUGUCAACUGGUUGUCGGGCCUUCAUUGGCCUGGUAACGUAGCUAACGCGUGAAGUUGACCGCCUGGGGAGUACGGUCGCAAGAUUAAAACUCAAAUGAAUUGACGGGGUCAUAGCUGUUUCCU